UACGUAGGCAGCAAGCGUUGUUCGGAGUUACUGGGCGUAAAGAGUGCGUAGGCGGUCUUUUAAGUUUGGUGUGAAAUCUCCCGGCUCAACUGGGAGGGUGCGCCGAAAACUGGGAGGCUUGAGGAUGGGAGAGGCAUGCGGAAUUCCUGGUGUAGCGGUGAAAUGCGUAGAUAUCAGGAGGAACACCUGCGGUGUAGACAGCAUGCUGGACCAUUUCUGACGCUGAGGCACGAAAGCGUGGGUAGCAAACAGG
This 253-nucleotide ribosomal RNA is filed under the name uncultured bacterium. Its description in RNAcentral is "partial 16S ribosomal RNA". It matches the Rfam family "Bacterial small subunit ribosomal RNA", at positions 524 to 776 of the family's 1533-position model. The record is from RNAcentral.